UUUCAGGGUUUGUGGCAAAUUGUACCACAUU
This 31-nucleotide non-coding RNA is filed under the name Mus musculus (house mouse). Lineage: Eukaryota; Metazoa; Chordata; Mammalia; Rodentia; Muridae. The record is from RNAcentral.